Molecule: transfer RNA, 73 nt
Filed under: Pteropus alecto (black flying fox)
Lineage: Eukaryota; Metazoa; Chordata; Mammalia; Chiroptera; Pteropodidae
Rfam family: tRNA
About the family: Transfer RNA (tRNA) molecules are approximately 80 nucleotides in length.
Source: Rfam by way of RNAcentral
GGUUCCAUGGUGUAGCGGUGAGCACGUCUCCUUUACACGCAGAAGGUCCUGGGUUCGUGCCCCAGUUCAGCCA